Molecule: ribosomal RNA, 819 nt
Filed under: Bacillus amyloliquefaciens
Lineage: Bacteria; Bacillati; Bacillota; Bacilli; Caryophanales; Bacillaceae
Description: bacterial SSU rRNA
Rfam family: Bacterial small subunit ribosomal RNA
Source: RNAcentral
GAUGGGAGCUUGCUCCCUGAUGUUAGCGGCGGACGGGUGAGUAACACGUGGGUAACCUGCCUGUAAGACUGGGAUAACUCCGGGAAACCGGGGCUAAUACCGGAUGGUUGUUUGAACCGCAUGGUUCAGACAUAAAAGGUGGCUUCGGCUACCACUUACAGAUGGACCCGCGGCGCAUUAGCUAGUUGGUGAGGUAACGGCUCACCAAGGCGACGAUGCGUAGCCGACCUGAGAGGGUGAUCGGCCACACUGGGACUGAGACACGGCCCAGACUCCUACGGGAGGCAGCAGUAGGGAAUCUUCCGCAAUGGACGAAAGUCUGACGGAGCAACGCCGCGUGAGUGAUGAAGGUUUUCGGAUCGUAAAGCUCUGUUGUUAGGGAAGAACAAGUGCCGUUCAAAUAGGGCGGCACCUUGACGGUACCUAACCAGAAAGCCACGGCUAACUACGUGCCAGCAGCCGCGGUAAUACGUAGGUGGCAAGCGUUGUCCGGAAUUAUUGGGCGUAAAGGGCUCGCAGGCGGUUUCUUAAGUCUGAUGUGAAAGCCCCCGGCUCAACCGGGGAGGGUCAUUGGAAACUGGGGAACUUGAGUGCAGAAGAGGAGAGUGGAAUUCCACGUGUAGCGGUGAAAUGCGUAGAGAUGUGGAGGAACACCAGUGGCGAAGGCGACUCUCUGGUCUGUAACUGACGCUGAGGAGCGAAAGCGUGGGGAGCGAACAGGAUUAGAUACCCUGGUAGUCCACGCCGUAAACGAUGAGUGCUAAGUGUUAGGGGGUUUCCGCCCCUUAGUGCUGCAGCUAACGCAUUAAGCACUCCGCC